AAAAAAUCUUGUUUUCCCCUUUUUUUGCCCCUUAUUUCUAAAUGGUUUGAGCUGUAACCCCCAAAGUCAAUCCUAACCAUUCCUUUGUGGUAUGGAAACUUGUGGUUUAAUUUCAGAGAGAUUCAUACACUUAAACAAUAGUUAAAUUGUUGUCUGGAAACUACUGAAAUGCUUAUUUGGGCCCCUUUUUAGUCUUUAAUUAUUAGAUAAAGCAAAAAGUUUUCAGUAUGUUGUUAAAAAUUUUAAUGAAAAAAAUUGUGAAAUGAGUUUUUCUGCAGUUUUCUGAUAAGUUUGUAGCCACCCUCGUCCCUUGAGCAAUGUUGAGAACUGUGUUUCUAAGUGAGCAACUUGUACAUAAUUUGGUAGAUAAUAAUACACAUUAACCCUAUUUAACAAAAUUUUCCUUUUAUCUUUCUAACUAAUCAUUUCCUUUCUCAGCAAUGUUGAGUGAUAGAAAAAAUUAUCACUACAAACUAAAUGUACACGUUUAGUUGUCAAUGAAAUCAAAA
This 509-nucleotide long non-coding RNA is filed under the name Mytilus galloprovincialis (Mediterranean mussel). The record is from RNAcentral. Lineage: Eukaryota; Metazoa; Mollusca; Bivalvia; Mytilida; Mytilidae.